Molecule: ribosomal RNA, 253 nt
Filed under: uncultured bacterium
Lineage: Bacteria
Description: partial 16S ribosomal RNA
Rfam family: Bacterial small subunit ribosomal RNA
Source: RNAcentral
UACGUAGGGGGCAAGCGUUGUCCGGAUUUAUUGGGCGUAAAGAGCGUGUAGGCGGCCAGACAGGUCCGUUGUGAAAACUCGAGGCUCAACCUCGAGAUGUCGAUGGAAACCGUCUGGCUAGAGUCCGGAAGAGGAGUGUGGAAUUCCUGGUGUAGCGGUGAAAUGCGCAGAUAUCAGGAAGAACACCUAUGGCGAAGGCAGCACUCUGGGACGGUACUGACGCUGAGGUGCGAAAGCGUGGGGAGCAAACAGG